ACAUAUCAAGUGUAGGUCAUUGUGUGUCAUAUAGGUUGGUUGGACUCUUAACGCUGGUAUGGCAUGUAGGUGAAAUGUAGGAGUACAUUUCACUAAACAUGACCAACUUCGGAGUACUCUACUGUCAAGAGUCACUCCGAAAGGAUAUGGGUAUCAGUGUCCCUCCGACCUAAGAUCACCAUGGUGACUUGCAAGUAACUCACUAUGCUUUGGUGCCGGACU
Molecule: long non-coding RNA, 222 nt
Filed under: Elaeis guineensis (African oil palm)
Lineage: Eukaryota; Viridiplantae; Streptophyta; Magnoliopsida; Arecales; Arecaceae
Description: long non-coding RNA (EGUI_LNC063317)
Source: RNAcentral